GCGGGGCCGAGGCGGCGAGUGUCUGGGCGAGCGUGGCUGGGCCCGGUCCUGGGCUGGGGGCAGGGGCUAGGGCCGGGUCCCGGGGUGAGCCGAAACCUGGGGGUCGGGCGGGGCGGGAAAUGGGGCGCAGUGAGGCUGGGAGCCGGCCCUGAGCUCGUCCUGCGUAGGGGUAGCCGGGCUCAGGGGGCGCCUGAGCUGGAGGUGGAAGCGUGAAGUCAGGACUGAGUGGGCGAAGAGAACCUGGGCUGAGAUCCUUCCCGCCAGAAGAAACUUAUGUUGGGAGAUCAACACCAGCUAGUGGGCGUCUCUAUAAAGCCUCAACGUAUAGAACAGAUUUCACAUGCCCAGAGGCUGUUGAGCAGGCUUCAUGUGCGCUGCAGUCAGAGGCCACCUCUUUCUUUGUGGGCCGGAUGGGUCCUUGAGUAAUUGCUGGAAUCCACAAAUACCAAACUAUGGCCAUUGAAGCUGACCUUGGAGGGGGCAGCUUGGUUUAUCUUGCUUAUUUUCAUCCUGGAGAUCCUUCUUAAGUGGCUAUCCAACUUUUCUGUUUUCUGGAAGAGUGCCUGGAAUGUCUUUGACUUUGUUGUUACCAUGUUGGUAAGGAUAGAGAUCCUGAGGGUUCGUUUAGUGGGAUGAAGAAUGUGCCUAGGUGAAUCGAAAGAACAAGUUAACAUGAUAAUAGGAAGAAACAAAAAUUUACUUAA
This is a long non-coding RNA of Homo sapiens (human), 704 nucleotides long. Ensembl annotates it as CATSPER2 pseudogene 1. Its record names the gene CATSPER2P1. The record is from Ensembl. Lineage: Eukaryota; Metazoa; Chordata; Mammalia; Primates; Hominidae.